UACGGGGGGGGCAAGCGUUGUUCGGAAUUACUGGGCGUAAAGGGCUCGUAGGCGGCCAACUAAGUCAGACGUGAAAUCCCUCGGCUUAACCGGGGAACUGCCUCUGAUACUGGAUGGCUUGAGAUUGGGAGAGGGAUGCGGAAUUCCGGGUGUAGCGGUGAAAUGCGUAGAUAUCCGGAGGAACACCGGUGGCGAAGGCGGCUUCCUGGACCGACACUGACGCUGAGGCGCGAAAGCUAGGGGAGCAAACGGG
RNAcentral lists this ribosomal RNA (253 nucleotides) under uncultured bacterium. Its description in RNAcentral is "partial 16S ribosomal RNA". It matches the Rfam family "Bacterial small subunit ribosomal RNA", at positions 524 to 776 of the family's 1533-position model. The record is from RNAcentral.